RNAcentral lists this ribosomal RNA (440 nucleotides) under uncultured bacterium. Its description in RNAcentral is "partial 16S ribosomal RNA". It matches the Rfam family "Bacterial small subunit ribosomal RNA", at positions 338 to 795 of the family's 1533-position model. The record is from RNAcentral.
CCUACGGGAGGCAGCAGUGGGGACUAUUGCACAAUGGGGGAAACCCUGAUGCAGCGACGCAGCGUGAAUGAAGAAGUAAUUCGUUAUGGAAAGCUCUAUCAGCAGGGAAGAAAAUUACGGUACCUGAGUAAGAAGCCACGGCUAACUACGUGCCAGCAGCCGCGGUAAUACGUAGGGGGCAAGCGUUAUCCGGAUUUACUGGGUGUAAAGGGGGCGUAGACGGCAUUGAAAGUUUGGAGUGAAAGGCGGGGGCUCAACCCCCGGACUGCUCUGGAAACUGUAAGGCUGGAGUGCAGGAGAGGUAAGUGGAAUUCCUAGUGUAGCGGUGAAAUGCGUAGAUAUUAGGAGGAACACCAGUGGCGAAGGCGGCUUACUGGACUGUAACUGACGUUGAGGCUCGAAAGCGUGGGGAGCAAACAGGAUUAGAUACCCUAGUAGUC